CUACGUGCCAGCAGCCGCGGUAAUACGUAGGGGGCAAGCGUUAUCCGGAUUUACUGGGUGUAAAGGGAGCGCAGACGGCGAAGCAAGUCUGAAGUGAAAUGCAUGGGCUCAACCCAUGAAUUGCUUUGGAAACUGUUUGGCUUGAGUGUCGGAGGGGUAAGCGGAAUUCCUAGUGUAGCGGUGAAAUGCGUAGAUAUUAGGAAGAACACCAGUGGCGAAGGCGACUUUCUGGACGAAAACUGACGCUGAGGCGCGAAAGCCAGGGGAGCGAACGGGAUUAGAUACCCCGGUAGUCCUGGCCGUAAACGAUGGGUACUAGGUGUAGGAGGUAUCGACCCCUUCUGUGCCGGAGUUAACGCAAUAAGUACCCCGCCUGGGGAGUACGACCGCAAGGUUGAAACUCAAAGGAAUUGACGGGGGCCCGCACAAGCGGAGGAACAUGUGGUUUAAUUCGAUGAUACGCGAGGAACCUUACCCGGGCUUGAAUUGCAGAGGAAGGAUUUAGAGAUA
This 510-nucleotide ribosomal RNA is filed under the name uncultured bacterium. RNAcentral describes it as "bacterial SSU rRNA". It matches the Rfam family "Bacterial small subunit ribosomal RNA", at positions 501 to 1008 of the family's 1533-position model. The record is from RNAcentral.